Long non-coding RNA from Laticauda laticaudata (blue-ringed sea krait), 515 nucleotides. The record is from Ensembl. NCBI's taxonomy places the organism in Eukaryota, Metazoa, Chordata, Lepidosauria, Squamata, Elapidae.
GCCUUGCCGCCGCGCGCGCCUGCGUCCUCUUCGCCUUCUCCUUCCCGCAGCUCCGCCGCCUUUGCCGCGCUCACCUGCCCGCCCGGGCGGUCGGUGGGGCAGCCCGCCCCGCGCUCUCCUCUCCCGACCGGCCGGCCGGCCGCUUCCUUCGCCCUCGGAUGAGACGGGGCCGGCCGGCGGCGUCCAGCGAGCGAGGGAAAAAGCAGCCAGGCGGACCAGGCAGUGCGCAAAAGGCGGGCAGCGCGUCGCGUGGGCACCGCCGCCGCCGCCGCCGCCCCGACUGCUCGGGAGAGCCGAGCAGGACCGCCAGGCAGGCAGGCAGGCUGGAGCGGGGGAGGGGGGGCAGAGGAGGGGCGAGGAGGGACCGGCCCGCCCGGGCGAAGGGAGGCAGCGGCGGCGCCUCGGGCCCGCGCGCCCAGGGCCGGGGGGGCUUGUUUACGCCGGGAGGGCGCGCGGCUCCCCUCAAGGGCGAGGAACUCGGAGGGCCGGCUCGAAUGUUGAGAUUUACAAGAUGA